RNAcentral lists this ribosomal RNA (562 nucleotides) under bacterium DR2A-55G23. RNAcentral describes it as "bacterial SSU rRNA". It matches the Rfam family "Bacterial small subunit ribosomal RNA", at positions 328 to 881 of the family's 1533-position model. The record is from RNAcentral.
GGCCCAGACUCCUACGGGAGGCAGCAGUAGGGAAUCUUCCGCAAUGGACGAAAGUCUGACGGAGCAACGCCGCGUGAGCGAAGAAGGCCUUCGGGUCGUAAAGCUCUGUUGUUAGGGAAGAACAAGUAUCGGAGUAACUGCCGGUACCUUGACGGUACCUAACCAGAAAGCCACGGCUAACUACGUGCCAGCAGCCGCGGUAAUACGUAGGUGGCAAGCGUUGUCCGGAAUUAUUGGGCGUAAAGCGCGCGCAGGCGGUCCUUUAAGUCUGAUGUGAAAGCCCACGGCUCAACCGUGGAGGGUCAUUGGAAACUGGGGGACUUGAGUGCAGAAGAGGAAAGCGGAAUUCCACGUGUAGCGGUGAAAUGCGUAGAGAUGUGGAGGAACACCAGUGGCGAAGGCGGCUUUCUGGUCUGUAACUGACGCUGAGGCGCGAAAGCGUGGGGAGCAAACAGGAUUAGAUACCCUGGUAGUCCACGCCGUAAACGAUGAGUGCUAAGUGUUAGAGGGUUUCCGCCCUUUAGUGCUGCAGCUAACGCAUUAAGCACUCCGCCUGGGGAGU